CUGAACAUAGGUAAGACAAAAAAGGUUAAUCUGAAGUAAUCGUGCUUUACAUCUAUGUUAAGGAUAUUGAAAGUGCUUUUCAAACCAGCCCAAGACGUGGGGCCGUGAAAUGGAGAAUGGAGCGCGCGCUGUGUUUUAAAGAGCACAGCAAUGCUGCACAAGCUGGAAGCAACUUCCAGAUUGUUUCCAUGGGGACUCGGCAGCAGUCUUUGCUGAAGCUGACAGAUGUUGGACCAACCCAGCCAAAGAUGUCGGGAAGAGAAAGGGAUGCAGUGCUCUUGCUCAGCUGGAGAUGGCACCAGGACCAGCACUUUUCAUGAGGUCCCCCUGAAGUGUCUGAACCAGAACGUCUAACCAAGGCUCAGGAACUGGGAAUGCAUCCUGGUGGGUUAGCUUGACAGUAUCUCCAUGCUUCAAGACUCUCAGCCCUACUCUUACACAAAGUGACAUGACCUCCUUUUCCCAUAUCAUCCAAGACAACACAGAGCAACAGAAUUCCUGGGCAUCAGCUUAGUUUUGACUCGGAGGCUCAGCGUAGCUGGAGAUGGCCAAGACUUAUUAGACAGUCUAAUUUUCAAGGACAUAAACAAGUCUCCAUGCCUCGAUACCGGAGGUGUCAGAUUUAACGUCUUGUUCUUGGUGAAAAACAUCUUAUGGGCAAAGGGAAACAAGAUAAGCUUCAUAUCAAAGGGCACGCGUAUGUGAACGAGCAUGGCUCCUUCACACAUCAAGCCAAUGAUCUCUCUACUUUGAACCAUGGUGGAAUCAGGCUAACACAAAGAGAAAACAGGUGGUAAAGGGCUGGCCACAUCCGUUGGCCGCUUAGAACCAGAUCCAGGCCCUGAUAUAAACUGUUCUUGGACGGCGCUUUGAAAGGAUGGCUGUUCAGGCUGCAUUUCACUGCUGUGGAAAUAUGGCUACCAACAACUCAGAUUUCCACAACCACGUGCGUUGCCAGACGGAGAAGAGCAGCAGGGGAAAGGAGCCACGCUGUGCAUUCUCCUUCCGCCGCCAUGUGCAAAUUGUGCCAGGAUCGGAGCAUUUCCCGGCGGGAAGGGUUUAUCCAGUCACGUCACCUGAGGACUUAAGAGGCAGAAGAAGCCACGCGGAAACAGGAGUCAGGCUUCCCGGGGGGAGGCCUUACAGAGUGCGAACCUGCCUGUGCCACGGGAAGCGAGCCUCAAAAAGACGCACGUGGCCUGUGGCGGGAGAGGCAGGUGACUUAACUCUUCUGGCCAACGUGGUGGGGCCUGUGAGCUGCUCUGUGCUGCCCGCAGACCCCCCUGCCACCCGCUUCGGUCCAUUUUACAAUUGUCUGCCGUGGAGAUAGGGCCAGAGCAGGCUGAGCCACGGAUUUCCACCACCCCCGUGAAGCCACAAGCAAUUAAUUGUCCAUCUCGCUCGUGCCGGAGCCUUUUCACUUCCUCUCCUAUCAGACUCUGCACGUCUCUUCAUUUUAAGUGCCAGGGGAUAGCGCCCAGCUGUCGCCUCACCGCAGAGCUUCCUGAUGCAGAAGCAGCUGCUAAAAAGCCUUAUCCCACAAAGGAGGAGAGAUCAGUUAGAAAUGAUAGAGGGAAGCUUGCCUUUGGAGUUUAUUGUUGGGCCCCACCACUGCCAGGGGGAGAUAACACUGUUUUUUUCCAGUGUUUUAAAUGAUUUCACUGGCACCACCUGUGAAAACAAUCCUGCAUGCUUAUCUGCAGUUCAGAGAUUUGGGUCUCUGGCCUGGCUCGGGGGAUGCUUAAUGGGACAGAGGCCUUUCUCGGUCACCUGUUCUGGAGCCUUUCCCUGUGUCGUUCAAGCAUUGCCUUUGCAAGGGCACUGCCAAUAUUUUAGGAAUAUCCCACAUCCUUUUGCUCCCUCUGGGUUAUAGGGAGGGUGAUUUAUUUCUGAAAUUCCUAAAAGAGGAGGAGUCAUAAAAAUGUCUUGCAGUUCCAGGCCAAGGAGCAUGUUAUAAUCUAUUUUGCAACGGACAGCACAGCAGACCACAGAAACAUCUGAAGGAGAGAAGUGGAAAAUAUAUUUACCGGGUCUGGAAAGUGAAUUGGCAUUCAGGGAAUGGAUACUUCUGCAGUACUUGUGCCAGGUCCUGUAGCUACCUACUUUCCUACAGCAAAAUCAUAAUAAUUUAUUAACAUCCACUAGUAAUGCCAUCAAUAAGAUACCAGGAAACUGCUGGCAUUGCAAUGUACAUAGCAAUUAAAAUAAAAGCCAGAAAGCUUUCA
This is a long non-coding RNA of Crocodylus porosus (Australian saltwater crocodile), 2225 nucleotides long. The record is from Ensembl. NCBI's taxonomy places the organism in Eukaryota, Metazoa, Chordata, Crocodylia, Crocodylidae.